ACAUGGGAGUCCAGCAACAUAACCAUUAUGACAUCUGCUGGUCCCUGACAAUUGUUCAAAUUUGAUUAAACAUAAAGGAAAUGCCUUUAGCAAUAUCUUCUAUGAUCCGAUUAAUAAGCAUUUCAGAUUAGGCCCAGCUACAGUGGUAUGGGCAGGGAGGGGUGCUGCUGUGUCACGCUAGAAGCCAUAUUGGAAGACUAUCAGUUUCCGCCCCUAGGGUUCAACUUAACAUGGGAGUGCAAGUGUCCUCUGUGCUUCUUCCUAAUGGGUGGCUCUGAAAUACCCCAGCAUUGCAAUAUAUAUGGACACCUGCAGACUGCUGUGAAGCUUACGCCGUUUACAACUUUAUAGUGUUUCGUGCCAACUAUCUAACUAUCCCGAAGCCAAGAAUCAACAGAAACAUUUUCUUUCUCUGUGUUGGUGAUGGCCAUGGGCUAUGUAAAAUUUCUCAAAGGAAAGAAGAAAAUUGAACCCUUCCAUCACAAACAAGAAGCAACUCAAAUUAACAAGGUAACCUAAAUAAGACCUGAAACUAUAAAACAACUGGGAGAGAACAAAGGGGAAAGCUGAACACCUGCCUUGGCAAUGAUUUUUUAGCUAUCAUCCCCAAAGCUCAGGACACAAAAGAAACAUAAAUAAAUGGAACUGCAUCAGAACAGCAAAAGAAACCAUCAAAGUCAAACAGCAGGCUACAGGCUGAGAAACAAUAUUUGCAAACUAUACAUCUGAGAGGAGGUUAACAUCCAAAAUGUAUAAAGAACGCACACGACUCAAUAAUGGAAAAAUAACCUAAAAAAAAAAACCGUGCAGGGCCAGCAGAUGGUAUGGUGAAGGUACAGACUCCCACACGGACGACCACAGUUGGAGUUCCAGACCUGGCGGUUUCCUUUCUCACUUUCCCCCUCUCUCUCUUACUCUGGUGAGCCCUAUACCAAAUGAAAAAACAAAACAAAUAAACAAAAUAACCCAAAGGACUUCAAUGGACAUUUUUGCAGUGAUGACAUGAAAACAGUCGAGAGGCAUAUGAAAAGUGCUGUGUCAUUAAUCAUCAAGAAAAUGCACACUCACAACUCACACCCACUAGGCAAGCUACUAUCAAAAGUCAAAAGGUGACGGUGUGAAGAAAGAAGAAUGUAGACUGGUACAGACAUUGUGGAAACCAGGAUGCAGGUUUCUAGAGAAAUUUAAAAUAGAACUACCACGUGACCCAGCAGUCCCUCUUCUGGACAUAAACCCAGAGGAAACAAAAUCACAAGAUACCUGCACUCCCAUAUUUACUGCAGCAGUAUUCAAACAGCCACACUAUCCAAACAGCCUACGUGUGUGUUGACAGACGAAUGGAUAAGGAACUGUGA
Tupaia belangeri chinensis (Chinese tree shrew) is the source of this 1355-nucleotide long non-coding RNA. RefSeq lists it as uncharacterized. NCBI's taxonomy places the organism in Eukaryota, Metazoa, Chordata, Mammalia, Scandentia, Tupaiidae. The record is from RefSeq and is a predicted model, not a curated record. The transcript has 3 exons.